Molecule: long non-coding RNA, 1460 nt
Filed under: Mustela putorius furo (domestic ferret)
Lineage: Eukaryota; Metazoa; Chordata; Mammalia; Carnivora; Mustelidae
Description: lncRNA (ENSMPUG00000031813.1)
Source: RNAcentral
AUGAGCCGGACCCCCUCGCUCGCAUUGAGAAUCCCGUCCAGUAACAGCCAGGACAAAAAAGGAACCACUGACAACCACGAAUGCUUUUCCUGCCCUCUGCCCCGGCUCAGUAUCAGAAGGCCAGACACCUACACCGCCGCAGAAAGCCACUGGCAACCGCCGCUGCACUCACGGCCGAUACACCGUUCCGUGCAUGCCCAGUGCUCUCCAGCUAGAGAGGGCCCUUGCUCCCGCGGCCAGCACCACCCCCACCUCGCCGUUAAAACAGGGCCCAAGCUCUGGGCAUCAAAAACCCAGACAGCAACAACCCACGGCGGCAGGAGAGCGCAGCCGGGCGAGGCAGAGAAAGAGCCGGAGCGCCCCCUGGUGGCCGCGGGGCUGCCCUUCCUGCACUGCGCCCGAAGGAAGGCUGAGCCGCUUGUUGCUUCCACCUUCCACCUCCCAAAUGAUCAUACGGUCCAACAAAGAGCUCAGUUCAGGAGUAGAAACUCAUUUUCGUACAGCGGGAGCGAAGGAACGUGCGGCUGACGUAAAUGCCAGUAAGUACCAACGGAAGGAAUUCUCAGGAAACUGGGCCCCAAGGAGCCGCACGUGCUGCCUUUGACGGUCUCUGCAGCUAUGGGGACGAUGACCCGGCUGUCAUGUACUCUGGCGCGUUGUGCAGGUGCUCUUCUGAUGCACCAGCCCCGCUAAAUCAUCCCGCUGUGAUGACGGAACGAAGCGACUCCCAAAGGCACACCCAAGAGCAAACGCUCUCUGGGGUCUGUCAUUUCGUCGGUUUCAUUGGGCUUCCUCCUUCUCUUAAGUUCCAUUCCCUGAGCCAAGCAGGAGGCAAGUGGUCAAAAAAAAAGGAAAAGGUCUAAAAUAAAAUAUGGUUCCUGGAAAACAGCCCCGCUGCCUCCUUCUUUCCUAUCAUGAAGUCUCUCGGCCCCGGCACUACGGACCUGUGGGGCUGGCCCGUCCCCUGCUGUAGUGUCGUCCUGUGUGUGGUGGGACGUUAGCAGCACCCCAGCCACUACCCAGGUGAAGCCAGCAGCAUCCCCACCCCCAUGACACCCAAAAAUGUCUCCAGGUACUGCCCAAUGUCCUCCAGGGGCUGAAAGUGCCCGUCACUGAGAACCACUGUCCUAUCUGACCCUCGGUUUCCAUUCUUACAGCCUCACAGAAAGAGGGUACACACUGACCUCCUCUCAACUAGGAGGAAACGUUAAGGAGUAAGAGCCAGGCAGAGGGAACUGGCUCGGCCUGUGCAGCAGGGGGGGUGCGAGUGAAACAGGAAAUCGGGUCCAUCUGCUGGCAGCUCAAGGCCCAGGUACUGCCUUCGAUGGUCAGCCAGCAAUGUAACCUACAAGCGAGGUUCCCAACAAUCACACGUACGACAUGCCAGGUGCUCUCCACGACAUGCUUUUCCCGUUUUUCUUACCAAGGUAUGAUUCACAUGGAAUAUCUUCAGGACUUGU